Molecule: ribosomal RNA, 582 nt
Filed under: uncultured bacterium
Lineage: Bacteria
Description: bacterial SSU rRNA
Rfam family: Bacterial small subunit ribosomal RNA
Source: RNAcentral
GAACGCUGGCGGCAGGCCUAACACAUGCAAGUCGAACGGUAACAUGACUAGCUUGCUAGUUGAUGACGAGUGGCGGACGGGUGAGUAACGCGUAGGAAUCUACCCAGUAGCGGGGGAUAAGCCAGAGAAAUUUGGUCUAAUACCGCAUACGCCCUUCGGGGGAAAGCAGGGGAUCUUCGGACCUUGCACUAUUGGAUGAGCCUGCGUGAGAUUAGCUUGUUGGUGAGGUAAUGGCUCACCAAGGCGACGAUCUCUAGCUGGUCUGAGAGGAUGAUCAGCCACACUGGAACUGAGACACGGUCCAGACUCCUACGGGAGGCAGCAGUGGGGAAUAUUGCACAAUGGGCGCAAGCCUGAUGCAGCCAUGCCGCGUGUGUGAAGAAGGCCCUAGGGUUGUAAAGCACUUUCAGCAGUGAGGAAAGGUUAGUAGUUAAUACCUGCUAGCUGUGACGUUAACUGCAGAAGAAGCACCGGCUAACUCCGUGCCAGCAGCCGCGGUAAUACGGAGGGUGCGAGCGUUAAUCGGAAUUACUGGGCGUAAAGCGCGCGUANGUGGAUUGGUCAGUCAGAUGUGAAAGCCCA